RNAcentral lists this long non-coding RNA (880 nucleotides) under Gallus gallus (chicken). The record is from RNAcentral. Lineage: Eukaryota; Metazoa; Chordata; Aves; Galliformes; Phasianidae.
CGGGAACAUGGAGCGUGAAGAGACAGGGAGCUUGGAUUUUCAUCCCAGAAGACUGCAUGCCGCAGAGAUCAGCAGAGCUGGGCAGCAGGCAGCAGCUGGUACCUUGUGCUGCCUUUGACACACUGCUCCAUCAGUUCAGAAUCUUGUCCAGCGUCAUUCUCUUGGAGGCCUCAAAGAAGUCAUUUUGCUGUGGUGUCCCAGCUACAGUAUUUAGCCCAUAAAGCGGUCUCUGGAGUUCUCAGGCUAUCCCAGCAGGAAUGCAGGGCGAAACCUCAGAUAUGCCUGAUCCUUUCUGUGUUUUCCAGGACUUUUCAUUUUCCACUCUACUUUUUUUCGUUUCUUCUUUUUUCUUUUCCUUUGCCCAAGCUUGUCAAAUAAAUUGCAUCUGUUUUUUUGGCCGUUACAGUUUAUGGUUUCUAGGAAAAAGAAAGACUCUGCCCAUUUACAAUAAAUACCAGAGAGCCAGAGUAGAGGGAUUGAGAAGCAGGAAUAUACUGGAGGAAAGUCUGAUGCUUGGAAGGGGAAAAUACUUUUCUAUUGUAAAUUUGUGCCAAAUUAUAACUGAACUAUCUUUGAAGAACCUCAGGGAUGAAGCUGUGUGGCUUGUGGUUUUCCUUAAGGGUGUCUGGAGUGUGACUAGCAUCAGUGAAAGCAGCAAUGGCUUCUCCCAACAGCUGCAACUGCUUGGGGUUCAGUAGAACAUAAGGAAGCCAUUUGAGGACAGAACAAAUGACAUUUUGUUUCCUUUACCACUUCAGGAGUGGGCUGAUAGUUUCAUUUUAUGUUUCUUACCCUAUGGGAUCAUUGCUUCAACUGCUGAUAAACGUAGUCAUUGUUAUUAAGACUGAUGGUGUAAUUUUAGCCUGGUGGUGGAUGAUUC